This 804-nucleotide long non-coding RNA is filed under the name Ursus maritimus (polar bear). RNAcentral describes it as "lncRNA (ENSUMAG00000015800.1)". Lineage: Eukaryota; Metazoa; Chordata; Mammalia; Carnivora; Ursidae. The record is from RNAcentral.
GAAAAUGAGCACUGAAGCCAGGCUGGAAGACUGAACCACAACGUGUUUUCAACAUUUUAACUAUGCACGUGGAGGCCAGGCAGUCACGGGUGAUAACCUUCAGACCUGGGUUCAGGAAUGAGCCAGGAUGUGUGGCAAAAUCUGAUGAUAAAGGGGCCAGGCUGACUCUCCACUGCCUUGUUCUUUGGGCUCCUUUCUGUGGGCCAGGGCUGUGCCCUGCAGAUGCCUUCAGGCACUCAGGUUGCCUGUUGUGAGAUGGAGCCGCAAAGGCAGGGCCUGGGCGCCUGGAGUCCGGCAUGAAAGGAAAUAGCGCCUCAUCGCUCUUAUCUAAGCCCAGAGCCGCCACCUCCUCGCCCUCGCGGGCCUCUACGAAGAUUCCAGGCCCUCCAGAGACCAGGACGUCCCUCAGCACCACCGCCCCCUGUGCCAGGGCCGCCCGGAAACAGCCGAUACCCACACCGGGCAAGAGAACUGCACGGGGGGCAACUGGGGGAGGCUGGAAUGAGGGAGGGAAGGUGGGAGGGGGAGGGGGCGCACACCCACAGAGGCCGUAGCAACCGGCUUCUGGGGCGCCCUGAAGCCCAGACACCCCUAUCCUCUCUUUCGCAUCCCCCUCGCUUGAGCCUCUUCUCCCAGCUUGAAAAGGCGACUUGGAGCUUGCCUCCGUGGCCCCUUUCGGUUCCUCCUCCCAUCUUCCCUGCCUUGGCUCCCCCUCCAGGAAGCAGCCACCCCUCUCUCUCGGCCACCGAAUUUCCUGGGAAGCCUCUCCCUGCAGCGCCCGGAGAUAAUAUUGUCCCAACCUGA